Molecule: ribosomal RNA, 454 nt
Filed under: uncultured Paludibacter sp.
Lineage: Bacteria; Pseudomonadati; Bacteroidota; Bacteroidia; Bacteroidales; Paludibacteraceae
Description: partial 16S ribosomal RNA
Rfam family: Bacterial small subunit ribosomal RNA
Source: RNAcentral
ACGGAAGGCAGCAGUGGGGAAUAUUGGGCAAUGGGCGAGAGCCUGAACUAGCCAAGUCGCGUGAAGGAAGACGGCCCUAUGGGUUGUAAACUUCUUUUGUACGGGAAUAAAGUCAGAUACGCGUAUCUGUUUGCAUGUACCGUAUGAAUAAGGAUCGGCUAACUCCGUGCCAGCAGCCGCGGUAAUACGGAGGAUCCGAGUGUUAUCCGGAUUUAUUGGGUUUAAAGGGUGCGUAGGCGGGGGAUCAAGUCAGUGGUGAAAUGGUGCGGCUCAACCGUAGCAUUGCCGUUGAAACUGGUUCUCUUGAGUGCGAAUGAGGCAGGCGGGAUGUGUUGUGUAGCGGUGAAAUGCUUAGAUAUGACACAGAACACCGAUUGCGAAGGCAGCUCACUGGGACGCAACUGACGCUGAGGCACGAAAGUGCGGGGAUCGAACAGGAUUAGAUACCCUGGUA